This 263-nucleotide ribosomal RNA is filed under the name uncultured archaeon. RNAcentral describes it as "partial 16S ribosomal RNA". It matches the Rfam family "Archaeal small subunit ribosomal RNA", at positions 747 to 1009 of the family's 1478-position model. The record is from RNAcentral.
CCAGCCGUAAACUAUGCUCGCUAGGUGUCAGGCAUGGCGCGACCGUGUCUGGUGCCGCAGGGAAGCCGUGAAGCGAGCCACCUGGGAAGUACGGCCGCAAGGCUGAAACUUAAAGGAAUUGGCGGGGGAGCACAACAACGGGUGGAGCCUGCGGUUUAAUUGGACUCAACGCCGGACAACUCACCGGGGGACGACAGCAAUAUGUAGGCCAGGCUGAAGACCUUGCCUGAAUCGCUGAGAGGAGGUGCAUGGCGUAGACGUCU